RNAcentral lists this ribosomal RNA (255 nucleotides) under uncultured bacterium. Its description in RNAcentral is "partial 16S ribosomal RNA". It matches the Rfam family "Bacterial small subunit ribosomal RNA", at positions 524 to 776 of the family's 1533-position model. The record is from RNAcentral.
UACGUAGGGGGGCAAGCGUUGUCCGGAGUUACUGGGCGUAAAGCGCACGCAGGCGGUCUUUUUAAGUUUGGAGUGACAGUUGGUGGCUUAACUGCCAAAGUGCUUCGAAAACUGAAAGACUUGAGGGCUUCAGAGGGACACGGAAUUCCGGGUGGAGUGGUGAAAUGCGUAGAGAUCCGGAAGAACACCGGUGGCGAAGGCGGCCUGCUGGGCUAUGGCUGACACUGAGGCGCGACAGCGUGGGGAGCAAACAGG